GAGGCGUUAUUAUAUAUUUAGUAUAUUUUAUUUUCAUUAAAGUGGAUUUUGUCUUAU
This 57-nucleotide transfer RNA is filed under the name Metastrongylus pudendotectus. RNAcentral describes it as "tRNA-Glu". Lineage: Eukaryota; Metazoa; Nematoda; Chromadorea; Rhabditida; Metastrongylidae. The record is from RNAcentral.